RNAcentral lists this unclassified non-coding RNA (23 nucleotides) under Mus musculus (house mouse). RNAcentral's name for it is "oocyte_clustered_small_RNA4723". Lineage: Eukaryota; Metazoa; Chordata; Mammalia; Rodentia; Muridae. The record is from RNAcentral.
AAAGGACAUAAAGGUCUUUGCAC